UACGGAGGGUGCAAGCGUUAUCCGGAUUUACUGGGUUUAAAGGGUGCGUAGGCGGCCUGUUAAGUCAGGGGUGAAAUCCCGGAGCUCAACUCCGGAACUGCCUUUGAUACUAUCAGGCUUGAAUUAUGUUGAGGUUGGCGGAAUACAACAUGUAGCGGUGAAAUGCAUAGAUAUGUUGUAGAACACCGAUUGCGAAGGCAGCUGACUAAACAUAUAUUGACGCUGAGGCACGAAAGCGUGGGGAUCAAACAGG
This 253-nucleotide ribosomal RNA is filed under the name uncultured bacterium. Its description in RNAcentral is "partial 16S ribosomal RNA". It matches the Rfam family "Bacterial small subunit ribosomal RNA", at positions 524 to 776 of the family's 1533-position model. The record is from RNAcentral.